RNAcentral lists this ribosomal RNA (346 nucleotides) under uncultured bacterium. RNAcentral describes it as "partial 16S ribosomal RNA". It matches the Rfam family "Bacterial small subunit ribosomal RNA", at positions 338 to 699 of the family's 1533-position model. The record is from RNAcentral.
CCUACGGGUGGCAGCAGUGGGGAAUAUUGGGCAAUGGGCGCAAGCCUGACCCAGCAACGCCGCGUGCAGGAAGAAGGCUGUCGGGUUGUAAACUUCUGUUAAGAGGGAAGAGCAGAACACGGUACCUCUAGAAUAAGCCACGGCUAACUACGUGCCAGCAGCCGCGGUAAUACGUAGGUGGACAGUGUUGUCCGGCUUUCCUGGGUGUAAAGGGCUUGUAGCCGGGCUGACAAGGCAGAUGUGAAAUUCCGGGGCGCAAACCCGGAUCUGCAUUUGAAACUGUUGUUCUUGAGUAUCGGAGAGGCAGGCGGAAUUCCUAGUGUAGCGGUGAAAUGCGUAGAUAUUA